UUCAUCUUGUUGUUUGUCCCAACCUGGCUGGCUGGGCCCACGGCCGGCCGGUAACCACGGCCUCCGGCUCCAACAAUGCCGGCAUUUCCAUCGCUCUGGGAAGCCACCAGACAGUUCUGGGUCGACUGUGGGACAGAAACUUAGGAAAGCAGCACUGACCUGAUUUUCUUGGAUGAGACUGUCCGCCCUGACAACGAGGCGGCCCUCGAACGCUCCGUCUCUGGGGUUUACUGAGGAUGUGUGAGAUCUGACUCUGCUCGAUGUCGCGGCGGAGGAAGGAAGAGGGUGUUGCGGACUCGUCCGCGCUCUCUGGACUGCGGCCGUCUUCCGGCUCGAAGUGGAUGAGUGACAGACUCGUUCCCGUUCCUCACAGCGUCACCGCUUCGCAAUGCGUCCAGUGUGUCAGAC
Molecule: long non-coding RNA, 408 nt
Organism: Poecilia latipinna (sailfin molly)
Lineage: Eukaryota; Metazoa; Chordata; Actinopteri; Cyprinodontiformes; Poeciliidae
Exons: 3
Source: RefSeq, a predicted model, not a curated record